GGAGGGCAGCCUGACCUGGAGGGGAGUGGGUAUGGCUUGCUUAAUGGGAGGCUGUGCUAUAUAAACUUGUGACCACCAAACCCGUAGACGUGUAGAUCGCUUCAAGGCCCACUGGGUAGGAGCUCUUCCAAAACACAGAUAGUUUCCCUAGGAGCACCACAGAGAGCUAGCCUGCAAGUGGAAAGUGCACGGAUACAACAUGGGAACAGGACGCGGUCCCUGAACGCCACCAGCUUCCUGCCCCGGUGUGUGACAGCGCAGAAUGUCUUGUCGUAUUUCCUCAGGGACAAGCUGACCCUCUGUAGAGGAAUGUUUCGUGGACUGACUUCUUUUGACUUUCAAUGGAGAAGAGCCAAGAAGAGGAGCGCUUGGGAACGUGAGUUGAGGCAUAACUUCUGAGCCGGAGGCCAGAAUUCCCAUUGAGGUUUUCACUUCCGCAAAAAGUGUUUGUUCAUCUUCUCACAUAAAGAGGAUAAUGACAUGGACAGUGAGAGGUGACGGUGGCAGAUCCUGAUGUGCACUCAACUGUUUCCCCAGUGUUGCUGUGUAGAACCUUCGGCUGUAGCAUGGUGCCACCUGCCAGUGACAAACAAGGAAGAAUGGGGCGGAAGAGGUGAAGAGGAAGGAAGGGAGGAAUCCCACAGUCCGUCCAUCCAGUUGAGUAGACUGACAUACAAACCACACACCACCACGUGCCGUCAGGAACCGGCUCAUUUCCAGCAUCCAGCAAGUCAUCAGCUGUACAAGGCACCAGUUUCCUGAAAGACAGGAUGUCUCAGUCCCCAGAGAAAUUCAUGGAAUGGCCCUGUGACUAGUGCUCAGGCGGGCUAGGAAGAGCCGUCAUCUAAACUACAUUCUCUUGAAAGUCCCACUUCUCAAAGGCUUCUUGUUUGCAUUUUUGCAUGCAAUUUGCGUAUCUCUAGACUCUAGAGGACAUCAUAACCUAUUUUCUUCUAAAGGUUAUUUUAUUACAC
This is a long non-coding RNA of Jaculus jaculus (lesser Egyptian jerboa), 974 nucleotides long. RefSeq lists it as uncharacterized. The transcript has 6 exons. The record is from RefSeq and is a predicted model, not a curated record. Lineage: Eukaryota; Metazoa; Chordata; Mammalia; Rodentia; Dipodidae.